GGCUGGGCUCGAACUCCUGAGCUCAAGUGAGCCACCACACCUGGCCUUUUUUUUUUAAUUCUUAAGAAAAGCAGUGUGCCAGGGCCUGCCCUUGCACUUAGAGUGGACCAGGAGGUGCUCCCUUGCUGGGUCUCACUCCAGCCGCGCUUUGCUCCUCUCUGUUCUUGCACUUGCCUCAGUGGCCUCUGCAGCAGAGCCUCAUGCUGGCUCUUCCCUCUGCUUGGGAUGCCCCUGUUAUUUUUCCCUGCAGUCUUGGAGGGCUGGCUCAUUGGUCAUUAUUCACAUGUCAUCUCUGUCCCACCUCGUAGACUGCUGACUCCCCCCGUGGCAUCCUACUUCCGUCGUGUCCUGCAGGUUUGCUUUCUACCUUUGCCUCUUUUUUUUUUCUUGAGACAGAGUCUCUCUGUGUUGCUCAGGCUACAGUGCAGUGGCACAAUGUCAACUCACUGCAACCUCCACCUCCCAGGUUCAGGCGAUUCUCCUGCCUCAGCCUCCUGAGUAGCUGGGACUACAGGCACACAUCACCACACCUGGCUAAUUUUUGUAUUUUUUUUAGUAGAGACAGCGUUUUGUCAUAUUGGCCAGGCUGGUCUCGAACUCCUGAACUCAAGUGAUCCACCCUCCUCAGCCUCCCAAAGUGCUGGGUUCACAGGCGUGAGCCACCGCGCCCAGCCUACCCUUACCUCUUGGGGACGCCUCUGUGGCUGGACUUUGCUGUGAGAGCAGGGCCGCCCAUGUCCAUCUCUUCCCGUGCUGAGCCCUUGCACCUGACACGGGCCUGGAGCUGGCAUUCGGGGUUUAUGGAACAGCAUGAAUUUCUCCUUGACAUGAGUGUCGUAACCCCAAAUUCGAGAGACUUGGGAAGGUUAUGCUCAGCCAGCAAGUGACCGACCCAGGAUUUGAGGCCGUUUGGUUUCAAGGUUGGUGUUUUUACCGAAUGCCACGCUGUAUAUUCUGCUUCUGACACUAGUGUGCGUGCCACUUGAAACCACUUUUAUCUUUUUAAGAGUUUUGGGCCUUCUGCAAAAAUAAAAGGAACAAAUUGUCACAGAGCCCUCUGCUGGACGUCGGCAGCUGUGGCAUCCUGGCGUGGUGGUUUCCUCUGAGCACACCCGAGUACGCAGAGUCUGUUUUUGAUUCCUAUCUCGCUGGUGGUGGGCUCUCGGCCAACAGGCAGAUCAAAAGAUGGAAUGUGUUCAUUUGGCCAUUUUUUAAAAAACUGAGGUACAAGGGUGCACUUCUUAAAGACAAGGGCGCCGUGGGUUAGACUCCGUGGGUCUGAGCUGGUCUGGCUUUUGUGCUUUUUUUAAGGGUUCAUCUCAAGUUUCUUUUUCUGGUUGAACAAUUUUUUUCAACAUUAAUAACUAAUGGAGAAGAGGAAGAGGCAAAAGUAGAACCAUAUGGCGGCAUAAACACGAACCUCACUUGUGGCCGGAAACUUCUGAUUUGUAUCUCUUCGUGUGAUCAGCUGUUGGGUUGGGUGAUUUGAGAAAAAGAAAAAAAAAAAAAAAAAAAAGGGUUCAGUUUGGGCAAAAGCAAGAAUGUCUUUCGUUUCUUUUUCAACCUAACCGUGCUGGGUCUGCAUGUCCUUCCUCGGACAUUGGCCCCUAGCUGCGUGGCUCUGGUCAAGUUAUUUCUCUAAGGCCCUUUUUUCCCUUUCUUUAAAACAAGGACGGGAGCGCAUGUCUGCGUGGAGAGCAGUUUUCAGGAUCAUGGGGCAGGGCAGGGAGAGCGGCUAGCAUAGUGCCCACCUUGCAGGACAGGGCUGUUACGAUUACCUGGUCCUUCUACAGAUUAUUAUUCAGGUGUCACCUGAGGCCACUGCUAAUAGCGUCCUAGUCUCUCCCUUACCUUCUACCUUCUGGGGGUUUUUCUUCUCCCUGCCCUGGUUCACUUUACCCACUCCCUACCCAUCUUUCCAGUGGCCCCCGGGUACCGCUGAGCCCGGCGAAAGUCUCGGUGGUGAAGGACUUGCGGCUCCUGCUCCCCAGGGUGGGCACACUCCUGUGGCAGCAGAGGAAGUGGUGGAGCCCUGAACUCCCCGCCAGAAAGACGGCAGGCACCGUCCUGACCAGUGUAGUGUUUAUUAUUCCAAGUCACUGGGAAUUAUGUUUAAAUCCCCCCAACAGCCUGGAUUGGUCUGACACCUUUGGUGUUAUCUGAACGUCCCCCUCCAAGGCUGUCAGGCAGUUCAGAUGGGUGGUUUAGACAGAAACCAUCCGGCUGCUGCAUGUCGGCACCACUCCUCCUCCUCAGAGGCCCUCCCUGGCUUUGGAGGCGACAGAGCCGGUGCCACAUGCACCCCAAAGUGAACUCUCGGCUUUGUUUGGACCUGUCGUUUCAUUUAAAUCGCUGUACAAACCCAUGGCCCGUGACACUUAAUGUGAUUUCUUCCACUGCUCUAAGCACUCGACAUGAGUAGGGGGCGGGGGCCGGGGUUCAGAUGAGCGUAGGGACUGGUUAGAUUACCGAGAUACACUGUUUUUAUUCUGGUUCUGUAAUAUGACCUCAGACCACAGGAUUAAUAUCCACUUACAUAGAAUCAGCAUGCAUUGAACGAUCCCUGCUGCCGCGGGCGUGAUGCUGCGCUGAGACUGAAGGGCCUGUCUUGGCCUCUGUAGGUGUAGAGUCACUUCACAGUGAAAAAUGCUAAGUGGUGAGGAAGGAGUAAGGUGAAAGCCAUUGACAGUAUUAGAACAGCCAUCCUCAAAGCAUUUAGGAUUCAGUCAAUAUUAGUGUUACUGCAGGAAUUCUGAAGAAUUUGACAUCUUGAUAAAGAAGUUGGAGUUUGGGCCAGGCCCUGAAGGAUCAGUAAGAUUUAAGAGAGCAGUGGGGAUUGGCUGUCAGAUUUAGCAAAUAAAAAUACAUGACCUGGCCAGGC
Molecule: RNA transcript, 2881 nt
Organism: Cercocebus atys (sooty mangabey)
Lineage: Eukaryota; Metazoa; Chordata; Mammalia; Primates; Cercopithecidae
Exons: 1
Source: RefSeq, a predicted model, not a curated record